Molecule: ribosomal RNA, 727 nt
Filed under: uncultured Candidatus Poseidoniales archaeon
Lineage: Archaea; Methanobacteriati; Thermoplasmatota; Candidatus Poseidoniia; Candidatus Poseidoniales
Description: SSU rRNA
Rfam family: Archaeal small subunit ribosomal RNA
Source: RNAcentral
GCCCUGUGCUGGGGGAUAACCUCGCGAAAGUGAGAACAAUACCCCAUGGGUCACUAUGCCUGGAACGGUUAGUGGCUGAAAGCUCCGGCGGCACAGGAUGGGUCUGCGGCGUAUCAGGUCGUAGGGGGUGUAACGUACCUCCUAGCCUUCGACGCGUACGGGUUGUGAGAGCAAUUGCCCGGAGAUGGAUUCUGAGACACGAAUCCAGGCCCUACGGGGCGCAGCAGGCGCGAAAACUUGACAAUGCGAGAAAUCGUGAUCAGGGGACUCCAGUUGGCUGGAUCAAAAGUCCAGUCUGAACCGACUUUAAAUCGGUCGGGUAAUAGGGGCGGGAAAGACCGGUGCCAGCCGCCGCGGUAAUACCGGCGCCCCAAGUGGUCGUCACUAUUAUUGGGCCUAAAACGUCCGUAGCCGGUUUGGUAAAUCCGUGGGUAAAUCAGACAGCCCAACUGUCUGAAUUCUGCGGGGACUGCCAGACUUGAGACCGGGAGAGGUGCGGGGUACUUGCGGGGUACCGGUAAAAUGGGAUCAUCCCGUAGAGACCACCUGUUGCGAAGGCGCCGCACUAGAACGGAUCUGACGGUCAGGGACGAAGCCUAGGGGCACGAACCGGAUUAGAUACCCGGGUAGUCCUAGGUGUAAACGCUGUGGACUUGGUGUCGGGGACCUUCUGAGGGUUUCCGGUGCCGGAGUGAAGAUGUUAAGUCCACUGCCUGGGGAGUACGUC